This 465-nucleotide ribosomal RNA is filed under the name uncultured bacterium. Its description in RNAcentral is "partial 16S ribosomal RNA". It matches the Rfam family "Bacterial small subunit ribosomal RNA", at positions 28 to 507 of the family's 1533-position model. The record is from RNAcentral.
GACGAACGCUGGCGGCGUGCUUAACACAUGCCAGUCGAACGGAAAGGCCCUGCUUGCAGGGUACUCGAGUGGCGAACGGGUGAGUAACACGUGGGUGAUCUGCCCUGCACUUCGGGAUAAGCCUGGGAAACUGGGUCUAAUACCGGAUAGGAGCCAUUUUUAGUGUGAUGGUUGGAAAGUUUUUUCGGUGUAGGAUGAGCUCGCGGCCUAUCAGCUUGUUGGUGGGGUAAUGGCCUACCAAGGCGGCGACGGGUAGCCGGCCUGCGAGGGUGGACGGCCACAUUGGGACUGAGAGACGGCCCAGACUCCUACGGGAGGCAGCAGUGGGGAAUAUUGCACAAUGGGCGCAAGCCUGAUGCAGCGACGCCGCGUGGGGGAUGACGGCCUUCGGGUUGUAAACUCCUUUCGCUAGGGACGAAGCUUUUUGUGACGGUACCUAGAUAAGAAGCACCGGCUAACUACGUG